ACAGGUCAGAAACAGACAGGUCAGAAACAGACAGGUCAGAGACAGACAGGUCAGAGACAGGUCAGAGACAGACAGGUCAGAGACAGACAGGUCAGAAACAGACAGGUCAGAGAGACAGACAGGUCAGAGACAGACAGGUCAGAGACAGACAGGUCAGAGACAGGUCAGAGAGACAGACAGGUCAGAGAGACAGACAGGUCAGAGAGACAGACAGGUCAGAGACAGGUCAGAGACAGACAGGUCAGAGACAGACAGGUCAGAGACAGACAGGUCAGAGAGACAGACAGGUCAGAGACAGACAGGUCAGAGACAGACAGAGAGGUCAGAGACAGGUCAGAGAGACAGACAGGUCAGAGAGACAGACAGGUCAGAGACAGACAGGUCAGAGAGACAGACAGGUCAGAGACAGACAGGUCAGAGAGACA
Molecule: long non-coding RNA, 425 nt
Organism: Acanthochromis polyacanthus (spiny chromis)
Lineage: Eukaryota; Metazoa; Chordata; Actinopteri; Pomacentridae
Exons: 3
Source: RefSeq, a predicted model, not a curated record